GCGAAAGUGGCGGAAUGGUAGACGCGCUGGUCUUAGGAACCAGUGGCUUUGGCCGUGGGGGUUCGAAUCCCCCCUUUCGCA
RNAcentral lists this transfer RNA (81 nucleotides) under Gemmatimonas sp. It matches the Rfam family "tRNA". From Rfam's summary of the family: Transfer RNA (tRNA) molecules are approximately 80 nucleotides in length. Lineage: Bacteria; Pseudomonadati; Gemmatimonadota; Gemmatimonadia; Gemmatimonadales; Gemmatimonadaceae. The record is from Rfam by way of RNAcentral.